Molecule: ribosomal RNA, 1092 nt
Filed under: Latilactobacillus curvatus
Lineage: Bacteria; Bacillati; Bacillota; Bacilli; Lactobacillales; Lactobacillaceae
Description: bacterial SSU rRNA
Rfam family: Bacterial small subunit ribosomal RNA
Source: RNAcentral
UAUGGGGGGCUAAUAAUGCAAGUCGAACGCACUCUCGUUAGAUUGAAGAAGCUUGCUUCUGAUUGAUAACAUUUGAGUGAGUGGCGGACGGGUGAGUAACACGUGGGUAACCUGCCCUAAAGUGGGGGAUAACAUUUGGAAACAGAUGCUAAUACCGCAUAAAACCUAGCACCGCAUGGUGCAAGGUUGAAAGAUGGUUUCGGCUAUCACUUUAGGAUGGACCCGCGGUGCAUUAGUUAGUUGGUGAGGUAAAGGCUCACCAAGACCGUGAUGCAUAGCCGACCUGAGAGGGUAAUCGGCCACACUGGGACUGAGACACGGCCCAGACUCCUACGGGAGGCAGCAGUAGGGAAUCUUCCACAAUGGACGAAAGUCUGAUGGAGCAACGCCGCGUGAGUGAAGAAGGUUUUCGGAUCGUAAAACUCUGUUGUUGGAGAAGAACGUAUUUGAUAGUAACUGAUCAGGUAGUGACGGUAUCCAACCAGAAAGCCACGGCUAACUACGUGCCAGCAGCCGCGGUAAUACGUAGGUGGCAAGCGUUGUCCGGAUUUAUUGGGCGUAAAGCGAGCGCAGGCGGUUUCUUAAGUCUGAUGUGAAAGCCUUCGGCUCAACCGAAGAAGUGCAUCGGAAACUGGGAAACUUGAGUGCAGAAGAGGACAGUGGAACUCCAUGUGUAGCGGUGAAAUGCGUAGAUAUAUGGAAGAACACCAGUGGCGAAGGCGGCUGUCUGGUCUGUAACUGACGCUGAGGCUCGAAAGCAUGGGUAGCAAACAGGAUUAGAUACCCUGGUAGUCCAUGCCGUAAACGAUGAGUGCUAGGUGUUGGAGGGUUUCCGCUCUUCAGUGCCGCAGCUAACGCAUUAAGCACUCCGCCUGGGGAGUACGACCGCAAGGUUGAAACUCAAAGGAAUUGACGGGGGCCCGCACAAGCGGUGGAGCAUGUGGUUUAAUUCGAAGCAACGCGAAGAACCUUACCAGGUCUUGACAUCCUUUGACCACUCUAGAGAUAGAGCUUUCCCUUCGGAGACAAAGUGACAGGUGGUGCAUGGUUGUCCUCAGCUCGUGUCGUGAGAUGUUGGGUUAAGUCCCGCAA